Molecule: ribosomal RNA, 497 nt
Filed under: uncultured bacterium
Lineage: Bacteria
Description: partial 16S ribosomal RNA
Rfam family: Bacterial small subunit ribosomal RNA
Source: RNAcentral
GAUGAACGCUGGCGGCGUGCCUAAUACAUGCAAGUCGAGCGAACAGACGAGGAGCUUGCUCCUCUGGCGUUAGCGGCGGACGGGUGAGUAACACGUGGAUAACCUACCUAUAAGACUGGGAUAACUUCGGGAAACCGGAGCUAAUACCGGAUAAUAUAUUGAACCGCAUGGUUCAAUAGUGAAAGACGGUUUUGCUGUCACUUAUAGAUGGAUCCGCGCCGCAUUAGCUAGUUGGUAAAGUAACGGCUUACCAAGGCAACGAUGCGUAGCCGACCUGAGAGGGUGAUCGGCCACACUGGAACUGAGACACGGUCCAGACUCCUACGGGAGGCAGCAGUAGGGAAUCUUCCGCAAUGGGCGAAAGCCUGACGGAGCAACGCCGCGUGAGUGAUGAAGGUCUUCGGAUCGUAAAACUCUGUUAUUAGGGAAGAACAAAUGUGUAAGUAACUAUGCACGUCUUGACGGUACCUAAUCAGAAAGCCACGGCUAACUACGUG